Molecule: ribosomal RNA, 824 nt
Filed under: Salmonella enterica subsp. enterica serovar Kiambu
Lineage: Bacteria; Pseudomonadati; Pseudomonadota; Gammaproteobacteria; Enterobacterales; Enterobacteriaceae
Description: partial 23S ribosomal RNA
Rfam family: Bacterial large subunit ribosomal RNA
Source: RNAcentral
AGACCCGAAACCCGGUGAUCUAGCCAUGGGCAGGUUGAAGGUUGGGUAACACUAACUGGAGGACCGAACCGACUAAUGUUGAAAAAUUAGCGGAUGACCUGUGGCUGGGGGUGAAAGGCCAAUCAAACCGGGAGAUAGCUGGUUCUCCCCGAAAGCUAUUUAGGUAGCGCCUCGUGAAUUCAUCUCCGGGGGUAGAGCACUGUUUCGGCUAGGGGGCCAUCCCGGCUUACCAACCCGAUGCAAACUGCGAAUACCGGAGAAUGUUAUCACGGGAGACACACGGCGGGUGCUAACGUCCGUCGUGAAGAGGGAAACAACCCAGACCGCCAGCUAAGGUCCCAAAGUCAUGGUUAAGUGGGAAACGAUGUGGGAAGGCCCAGACAGCCAGGAUGUUGGCUUAGAAGCAGCCAUCAUUUAAAGAAAGCGUAAUAGCUCACUGGUCGAGUCGGCCUGCGCGGAAGAUGUAACGGGGCUAAACCAUGCACCGAAGCUGCGGCAGCGACACUGUGUGUUGUUGGGUAGGGGAGCGUUCUGUAAGCCUGUGAAGGUGUGCUGUGAGGCAUGCUGGAGGUAUCAGAAGUGCGAAUGCUGACAUAAGUAACGAUAAAGCGGGUGAAAACCCCGCUCGCCGGAAGACCAAGGGUUCCUGUCCAACGUUAAUCGGGGCAGGGUGAGUCGACCCCUAAGGCGAGGCCGAAAGGCGUAGUCGAUGGGAAACGGGUUAAUAUUCCCGUACUUGGUGUUACUGCGAAGGGGGGACGAAGAAGGCUAGGCCGGCCGGGUGACGGUUAUCCCGGUUUAAGCGUGCAGGUGGGUGGUUUUGG